This 304-nucleotide ribosomal RNA is filed under the name uncultured eukaryote. RNAcentral's name for it is "partial large subunit ribosomal RNA". It matches the Rfam family "Eukaryotic large subunit ribosomal RNA", at positions 40 to 350 of the family's 3401-position model. The record is from RNAcentral.
AUAUAACUAAGCGGUGGAAAAGAAACUAACAAGGAUUCCCAUAGUAACUGCGAGUGAAGUGGGAAAAGCUCAGACUGAAAAUCUUCGGAAUUGUAGUCUGUAGAGAUUAAGUCAGUCAGUAUCUUGGAAGAAAGUCUCCUGGAAAGGAGUGCCGUGGAGGGUGAAAGCCCCGUUUAUCUUUCAAAGUUGUAUAUUGAUUAUGGUGAAUUCUCAACGAGUCGAGUUGUUUGGGAUUGCAGCUCUAAUCAGGUGGUAAAUUCCAUCUAAAGCUAAAUAUUGGUAGGAGACCGAUAGCGCACAAGUA